GGAUGUAAGGGCAAUCUGGCUAUGAAAUCUUUCAUCCCAUUGAUUGUCAGCAUCGACUUGGAUGAUCUAGCUGGCUAGGUAGGUGUCUCCUUCCUCCCUCAUUGCUCCAUGUGUGUCCCUCCUGAAGUUGCAAAGCUGCAGUGUAAGGGGAUGACCCUCCCCAAGAGAGGAGGACUGUUUCCCUCAGUCAAGGGUAUACAAUUAGCUGUACUCCCCUACUAGAACCUCCAGACAAGCUCUAAAGGUCUCUUAGAGGUUAAUGCUUCAAUAUAUAAAUUUGGAGAAACAAAAAUAUUCAGUCUAU
Unclassified non-coding RNA from Fukomys damarensis (Damara mole-rat), 304 nucleotides. Its record names the gene 7SK. It matches the Rfam family "7SK RNA". From Rfam's summary of the family: 7SK was discovered as an abundant small nuclear RNA in the mid-70s but a possible function has only recently been suggested. The record is from Ensembl. Lineage: Eukaryota; Metazoa; Chordata; Mammalia; Rodentia; Bathyergidae.